This is a long non-coding RNA of Mustela erminea (ermine), 983 nucleotides long. RefSeq lists it as uncharacterized. Lineage: Eukaryota; Metazoa; Chordata; Mammalia; Carnivora; Mustelidae. The transcript is spliced from 3 exons. The record is from RefSeq and is a predicted model, not a curated record.
UUCAGAACAAGUUAGCCCUAGAAGGUCUUCCGGUGAGUCACAUUCUGAGCAGAGAAAUCUGGCAUUGAGGCAUAAUUAACAUUCUGGGUUGCCCCCAGUUUCUAUGGAGAUGAGUCUAGCCCCUCGGGGGAGGAGUGAUGGAUGUGUAAUCUCCAAGAUAAGUAACUGACAGACCUGAUCUUUGCCUGGAGUGUAUCCCAGAACCAUGAUCAGUCAGGAACUAUGGAUUGCCUCAACUGGCCAGACUGAAACACCAGAGUGCUUAGUGCCACCAUCCAGCAAGAGCUCAAGGUAUAACUAACAUGUCUUAAACAUACUGGAGUUGAUCUUCAUGGCCCAUCUUAAUUCUGGUGAAAAUGUCCCUUCUCAUCUUACAAAAGCUGCCUAUAUGGUUUGAGACUGCAGAUUCAACCCCUCAGCAUCUUCCUACCCUCUCUUCACUGUCAGCCCUGUCCUUUCUGGGACAUGUGAAUCUGAAGAACUGUGUUCAAGUCCUGCUCUUCCUUUGGAAGCUCAAACUCUUCAUCUGUUAAGUGGGCUAAAGGAGACUAACUCACAGUGUUAUUGCAAGUAAAGUGGACCUAGGAGUACUUUGUAAGCAAUGAGAUAAUAAUGUGAGAGUUUAUAAUAGAUUAGAGUGAAUCAGGUUCUAAUGCACAAAUAAGGAAAACACUGCAGGAACAUAGAGGAGAGACAAUUAGGGAGAUCAAGUUUUGCAAAGCUGGUAUGGUGAACUUGGCCUUGAGAUUAAGAGAUCCCUAGGUAAAGCAGAACAUUCCAGAAAGAAAAAAAAAAAAGGCAGCUGGACAAAGUCUCAGAGAUGCCAAGAAGUCCUGUAUGUUUGGCAGAAAAUGAACAAGAGGAUUGGGGGAAGUCAUAGGUGUUGAUAAAUUAAGUACAAGUCAGUUCCUGAAGAGCUCUGUAUGCCAUAUUAAAGAGUUUGAGCUUUAUUUACAGAGCCACUGAAAAGUUUCUCUCUCUUU